This 253-nucleotide ribosomal RNA is filed under the name uncultured bacterium. Its description in RNAcentral is "partial 16S ribosomal RNA". It matches the Rfam family "Bacterial small subunit ribosomal RNA", at positions 524 to 776 of the family's 1533-position model. The record is from RNAcentral.
UACGUAGGGGGCAAGCGUUAAUCGGAAUUACUGGGCGUAAAGCGUGCGCAGGCGGUUCGUUGUGUCGGUGGUGAAAGCCCCGGGCUUAACCUGGGAAUGGCCAUGGAAACUGGCGAACUGGAGUGUGGCAGAGGGGGGUGGAAUUCCGCGUGUAGCAGUGAAAUGCGUAGAGAUGCGGAGGAACACCGAUGGCGAAGGCAGCCCCCUGGGCUAGCACUGACGCUCAGGCACGAAAGCGUGGGGAGCAAACAGG